This 612-nucleotide ribosomal RNA is filed under the name Cytospora pruinopsis. RNAcentral describes it as "partial large subunit ribosomal RNA". It matches the Rfam family "Eukaryotic large subunit ribosomal RNA", at positions 38 to 671 of the family's 3401-position model. The record is from RNAcentral. Lineage: Eukaryota; Fungi; Ascomycota; Sordariomycetes; Diaporthales; Cytosporaceae.
GCAUGUGUAUCGGUUACGGAGGAAAAGAAACCAACAGGGAUUGCCCUAGUAACGGCGAGUGAAGCGGCAACAGCUCAAAUUUGAAAGCUGGCUCCGGCCCGCAUUGUAAUUUGCAGAGGAUGCUUCUGGUGAGGUGCCUUCCGAGUUCCCUGGAACGGGACGCCAUAGAGGGUGAGAGCCCCGUAUGGAUGGACACCAAACCUGUGUGAAGCUCCUUCAACGAGUCGAGUAGUUUGGGAAUGCUGCUCAAAAUGGGAGGUAAAUCUCUUCUAAAGCUAAAUACCGGCCAGAGACCGAUAGCGCACAAGUAGAGUGAUCGAAAGAUGAAAAGCACCUUGAAAAGGGGGUUAAACAGUACGUGAAAUUGUUGAAAGGGAAGCACUUGUGACCAGACUUGCGCCGGGCAGCUCAUCAGGGGUUCUCCCCUGUGCACUCUGCCCGGCUCAGGCCAGCAUCGGUUCUCGUGGGAGGAUAAGAACGGUGGGAACGUGGCCCCCCUCCGGGGGGGUGUUAUAGCCCACCGUACGAUACUCUCGUGGGGACCGAGGUUCGCGCUCCGCAAGGAUGCUGGCGUAAUGGUCAUCAGUGACCCGUCUGAAACAACGACCAAUG